CGCGGCGCGGCGCGGCGGGGGGCGGGGCUGCUCUGCCCCGGUGGGUGCCAGGGCGGAGCCGCUCUGGGCAGGCGCGGGGGGCGGGGCGGGGAGCCAGCAGGCCGCAGACAAUAACCUUGGGCCCCUGACAGAGACUCGGGAAGGAGUCCCUGAGCUCGGUCCGGCGCCGUCACCUGGCGGCAAUGCCCGUGCUGUGCCGUGCGCCCCGGCCAGAUUGCACAGCAGCCAGGAGAGUGGAGCAGCUUGCCGCAGGAAGGAAACCUGUUUGUCAAGGCCACCAAAGCGAUGGUGUGUGGCUGCAAGUGAGGAGCAGGCCAGACUGCAAAGGAGGAUGAAGGACGUGUUCGCUAGCCAAUCUGAGGAGCAGGAGGACAGCUCCACCACCCUGUGCCCCCUGUCAGGGGCACCUGCUUAGCAAUGUUGCUGACGCACAGCUGUGAUACCAGGCCCCCUUUGUGAAAGUAAGUGUCCCCUGCAACCCCUGGUUCCCCAAGGGCAGCUGGGAGGGAGCUUUCUGUAACACAGCCAGGCAUGUUUCCUUGCAGUGACUGUUUGUCUGUCCAGGGGCAGCGGGGGUAGUGCUGCAUCUUGGCAAUCAGUCAGGAGCCCUCCUGAGUGGUGCUUCUGUGCUAGUGGUCUCAGGGCUCCCCUCUGCACUGUCACCAUUCAGCAGACCAUGCCCAGCCUGCCCUGGCUUGGGCAUCUCUCCAACACCCAGGCUGAGAGUCUAGCACUGACUCCCAACAAACCCUCAAUUUGGGUGCUGUAUGGAUUGGACAGAUGUGGCUAGCUGGAUCCAAGUGCUUGUCAAGCAGAACUACUAGCCUGGUGCCCCACUGUGCUCUUGAACUGAGCCCCUUCCCCAGCAGGAAGGGCCCAGGGCAUUAUUCUGAGCCUGCAUUGGUGGUGGGGUUGGUAACCAGAGCAUCUUUCUACCUUCUCCAACAAGAGGCUGAGACCUCUAUGCAAUGAAAAAGACUUGGCUUUGCUUUGCAAUGUAAUGUGUUUGCUGUGGCUUGAGGACACAAGCUCUUUGUGGGAAGGCCAGACCUGCUUUGGGUAUAUUUGUACAGGGCCCAAUCCCAACAGGGGCCUCUGCUGCUAUUGGGGUAGAGCUUGGCUAUGCUCCUGCCUGGCCUUUGCCUGUGUUCUCUGGGCUAAUUGAACACAUCAGUCCUGCACUAAGGGUUCUCCAGCACAUUCGGUAUCAGGGUCAGCUGCAUUCCCCACUGCUAUGGCCCAUGAUUAAUAGAAUAUUAUGGUUAGAAGGUACCUCAGGAGGUCAUCUAGUCCAACCUCCUGCUCAAAGCAGGAUCAAACCCCAGAUUUUACCUUAGUUCCUUACAUGGCCCCCACAAGGAUUGAACUCACAACCAUGGGUUUAGCAGGCCAAUGCUCAAACCACCAAGCUAUCUCUUCCUCUAGCUGAAAGCCAUCUGCACCAGAGACAGCUUUAACACCACCUGGAUGGGCCAGACCUCCAAGUUCACAAUCACCAAAGGAUUUGUCUGACUUCCAAGCUGAGGUCAGUAGGAGGAAGGGCCUGGUCUAACGGCUUCAUGGCUUCUCCUGUUUGAAAGCCCGUCAGAUGACACUGGAGCCAGCGCAGCAUCUCUCAUGCUGUCACUUUUAUCAGGCCAUUUAGAGCAUGGUUUUCAUGUCCAAUUUCCUUAGCACCCACCCAGCUCCUUGCCUAGGGUCAGGUUCCUCACUCCCUCAAGGGACUUUGCUGCUGGUUGGACUGA
Long non-coding RNA from Gopherus evgoodei (Goodes thornscrub tortoise), 1745 nucleotides. NCBI's taxonomy places the organism in Eukaryota, Metazoa, Chordata, Testudines, Testudinidae. The record is from Ensembl.